CCGAUCUCCAUACCUUUGCAUGGAUCAAUGUUCUCCAUAGUUGAUGCUCGUGAUAUACUCUGAGGUUCCUCAAUCAGCCAUACAUGGGUUCGACCUCUAUGGAUAUCCACACAAGGCCCUCGAAUCCAAUCAGAGGUCUGCGAUUUCAUCGGGGUGCUAGCUUCCUUACAGAAGAUGCCUCCGAUAGUUGAUGUUGCUGAUCUCCAUCAUUUCUCUCAAGACUCUCUCAGAGAAAGAGUAUAGGAGGAAGAAGAGGAGGAAGAAGAGGGGAGAAACCCUUUCUCUCUUUUCUUUUUCUUUCUUCACAAAACCCGACGCCUAAGAGGGAAUAGCCCAUGCCACAC
This 344-nucleotide long non-coding RNA is filed under the name Elaeis guineensis (African oil palm). RNAcentral's name for it is "long non-coding RNA (EGUI_LNC033581)". The record is from RNAcentral. Lineage: Eukaryota; Viridiplantae; Streptophyta; Magnoliopsida; Arecales; Arecaceae.